This 465-nucleotide ribosomal RNA is filed under the name Vreelandella stevensii. Its description in RNAcentral is "partial 16S ribosomal RNA". It matches the Rfam family "Bacterial small subunit ribosomal RNA", at positions 338 to 795 of the family's 1533-position model. Lineage: Bacteria; Pseudomonadati; Pseudomonadota; Gammaproteobacteria; Oceanospirillales; Halomonadaceae. The record is from RNAcentral.
UCUACGGGGGGCAGCAGUGGGGAAUAUUGGACAAUGGGCGAAAGCCUGAUCCAGCCAUGCCGCGUGUGUGAAGAAGGCCUUCGGGUUGUAAAGCACUUUCAGUGGGGAAGAAAGCCUUGGGGCUAAUACCCUCGAGGAAGGACAUCACCCACAGAAGAAGCACCGGCUAACUCCGUGCCAGCAGCCGCGGUAAUACGGAGGGUGCGAGCGUUAAUCGGAAUUACUGGGCGUAAAGCGCGCGUAGGCGGUUUGAUAAGCCGGUUGUGAAAGCCCCGGGCUCAACCUGGGAACGGCAUCCGGAACUGUCAGGCUAGAGUGCAGGAGAGGAAGGUAGAAUUCCCGGUGUAGCGGUGAAAUGCGUAGAGAUCGGGAGGAAUACCAGUGGCGAAGGCGGCCUUCUGGACUGACACUGACGCUGAGGUGCGAAAGCGUGGGUAGCAAACAGGAUUAGAUACCCUUGUAGUC